Molecule: ribosomal RNA, 352 nt
Filed under: uncultured bacterium
Lineage: Bacteria
Description: bacterial SSU rRNA
Rfam family: Bacterial small subunit ribosomal RNA
Source: RNAcentral
AGAGUUUGAUCCUGGCUCAGGAUGAACGCUAGCUACAGGCUUAACACAUGCAAGUCGAGGGGAAACGACAUCGAAAGCUUGCUUUUGGUGGGCGUCGACCGGCGCACGGGUGAGUAACGCGUAUCCAACCUGCCCACCACUUGGGGAUAACCUUGCGAAAGUAAGACUAAUACCCAAUGACGUCUCUAGAAGACAUCUGAAGGAGAUUAAAGAUUUAUCGGUGAUGGAUGGGGAUGCGUCUGAUUAGCUUGUUGGCGGGGUAACGGCCACCAAGGCGACGAUCAGUAGGGGUUCUGGAGAGGAAGGUCCCCCANAUUGGAACUGAGACACGGUCCAAACUCCUACGGGAGCA